GGUCAAUAGCCUAACGGCUGAACCAGCAACUUGAAGGAAUGUAUAGCGAAAGCUAGUGUGUGGCUUACAGGUAUCUAGGUUUCUUCUUAAAAAUUUUUAGGAAGAAAUAAGAAAAGGGUAGGUGCAAUCUUGAUUCGAUCAAAUAAAGUUCUAGCUAGAGUUAUGAUGAUGACAUACUCUAUCUAUGUGUCUUGACCAAAUUACGUGCCAGCAGUCGCGGUAAUACGUAAAAGACUAGUGUUAUUCAUCUUUAAUAGGUUUAAAGGGUACCUAGACGGCUAAAAAAGCUCCCAAAGAGUACUGAUUAGCUAGAGUUUGAUGUAAAGAGGCAAUAAAGUACUGAUAGUAUAGAGAUGAAAUUCUACGAUACUAUAUAUGGCACUGGUAUUAGCGAAGGCGUCCUCUUAUGUAAUAACUGACGU
The sequence is a ribosomal RNA, 422 nucleotides long. It matches the Rfam family "Bacterial small subunit ribosomal RNA", at positions 366 to 746 of the family's 1533-position model.